RNAcentral lists this ribosomal RNA (569 nucleotides) under uncultured Gammaproteobacteria bacterium. RNAcentral describes it as "bacterial SSU rRNA". It matches the Rfam family "Bacterial small subunit ribosomal RNA", at positions 812 to 1381 of the family's 1533-position model. The record is from RNAcentral. Lineage: Bacteria; Pseudomonadati; Pseudomonadota; Gammaproteobacteria.
UCGAUUUGGAGUUUGUUGCCCUGAGUGAUGGGCUCCGAAGCUAACGCGAUAAAUCGACCGCCUGGGGAGUACGGCCGCAAGGUUAAAACUCAAAUGAAUUGACGGGGGCCCGCACAAGCGGUGGAGCAUGUGGUUUAAUUCGAUGCAACGCGAAGAACCUUACCUGGUCUUGACAUCCACAGAAUCUUGCAGAGAUGCGAGAGUGCCUUCGGGAACUGUGAGACAGGUGCUGCAUGGCUGUCGUCAGCUCGUGUUGUGAAAUGUUGGGUUAAGUCCCGCAACGAGCGCAACCCUUAUCCUUUGUUGCCAGCGAUUAGGUCGGGAACUCAAAGGAGACUGCCGUUGAUAAGGCGGAGGAAGGUGGGGACGACGUCAAGUCAUCAUGGCCCUUACGACCAGGGCUACACACGUGCUACAAUGGCGUAUACAAAGGGAGGCGACCUCGCGAGAGCAAGCGGACCUCAUAAAGUACGUCUAAGUCCGGAUUGGAGUCUGCAACUCGACUCCAUGAAGUCGGAAUCGCUAGUAAUCGUGAAUCAGAAUGUCACGGUGAAUACGUUCCCGGGCCU